RNAcentral lists this ribosomal RNA (464 nucleotides) under Vreelandella stevensii. RNAcentral's name for it is "partial 16S ribosomal RNA". It matches the Rfam family "Bacterial small subunit ribosomal RNA", at positions 339 to 795 of the family's 1533-position model. Lineage: Bacteria; Pseudomonadati; Pseudomonadota; Gammaproteobacteria; Oceanospirillales; Halomonadaceae. The record is from RNAcentral.
CCACGGGGGGCUGCAGUGGGGAAUAUUGGACAAUGGGCGAAAGCCUGAUCCAGCCAUGCCGCGUGUGUGGAGAAGGCCUUCGGGUUGUAAAGCACUUUCAGUGGGGAAGAAAGCCUUGGGGCUAAUACCCUCGAGGAAGGACAUCACCCACAGAAGAAGCACCGGCUAACUCCGUGCCAGCAGCCGCGGUAAUACGGAGGGUGCGAGCGUUAAUCGGAAUUACUGGGCGUAAAGCGCGCGUAGGCGGUCUGAUAAGCCGGUUGUGAAAGCCCCGGGCUCAACCUGGGAACGGCAUCCGGAACUGUCAGGCUAGAGUGCAGGAGAGGAAGGUAGAAUUCCCGGUGUAGCGGUGAAAUGCGUAGAGAUCGGGAGGAAUACCAGUGGCGAAGGCGGCCUUCUGGACUGACACUGACGCUGAGGUGCGAAAGCGUGGGUAGCAAACAGGAUUAGAUACCCUGGUAGUC